ACCAAGUUGCUAGUAAGAGAAAAGGACUAUUUAAUCUCAAAGCAAGAAUGAAAAAGAGAAGUGUAAAGAACAGGCUAAUAGAUGCUACAAACAACUAUUUAAGUGUCUGCUCAUUUAGCAGAACAAAAUAAAACUCACUAAGCUGACAAGGUGUCAUAGAUAAUAAUGAGAAGAGGAAGAAAAAUCCAAGUUAAUUCAUCAUAUAUUCUGAUACACUUCAGCUGCGGAUUAAAGGAACCAUGCCAGUUGCUGCAACUCCAGACAGAGAGCGAAGGAAUCCUAUAGGAGCCCCCUGGGUUUAUAGAAGUCUAUCAAUCACCCUGUCGGUCUUCCGGAUCAUUAUUCAAGUUGCUAUACCCAAUUUUGCUGGAUAUAUCAGAUCAACUCCAGCUCCAUAGAUGGACAGUGUGUUUUCUUCCUAUUUUUAAAGACAGAAAGGUGGAAAAUUGGUGAAUGUUAUGAGGACACACUGGGAAGUACAUUGUUACUAUGGCAAUAAAAAAGAGAACAAAUGCCUCAAUUCUUCUUGCCUGUUUGGGAAAACUGGGAAACUGCUAACUUUGACACGAGAAGCAACAAGUGGUGGAAGGGAGGUUUCCACAGGAAGUAAAGCAUCUAACACUCUCCUCCCCUUCAACUUGAA
This is a non-coding RNA of Odocoileus virginianus texanus, 643 nucleotides long. NCBI's taxonomy places the organism in Eukaryota, Metazoa, Chordata, Mammalia, Artiodactyla, Cervidae. The record is from RefSeq and is a predicted model, not a curated record.